GUACGGCGAGUGAAGCGGCAAAAGCUCAAAUUUGAAAUCUGGUACCUUCGGUGCCCGAGUUGUAAUUUGGAGAGGGCAACUUUGGGGCCGUUCCUUGUCUAUGUUCCUUGGAACAGGACGUCAUAGAGGGUGAGAAUCCCGUGUGGCGAGGAGUGCGGUUCUUUGUAAAGUGCCUUCGAAGAGUCGAGUUGUUUGGGAAUGCAGCUCUAAGUGGGUGGUAAAUUCCAUCUAAAGCUAAAUAUUGGCGAGAGACCGAUAGCGAACAAGUACAGUGAUGGAAAGAUGAAAAGAACUUUGAAAAGAGAGUGAAAAAGUACGUGAAAUUGUUGAAAGGGAAGGGCAUUUGAUCAGACAUGGUGUUUUGUGCCCUCUGCUCCUUGUGGGUAGGGGAAUCUCGCAUUUCACUGGGCCAGCAUCAGUUUUGGUGGCAGGAUAAAUCCAUAGGAAUGUACUUGCCUCGGUAAGUAUUAUAGCCUGUGGGAAUACUGCCAGCUGGGACUGAGGACUGCGACGUAAGUCAAGGAUGCUGGCAUAAUGG
RNAcentral lists this ribosomal RNA (538 nucleotides) under Saccharomyces cerevisiae (brewer's yeast). Its description in RNAcentral is "partial large subunit ribosomal RNA". It matches the Rfam family "Eukaryotic large subunit ribosomal RNA", at positions 83 to 637 of the family's 3401-position model. The record is from RNAcentral. Lineage: Eukaryota; Fungi; Ascomycota; Saccharomycetes; Saccharomycetales; Saccharomycetaceae.